This 225-nucleotide long non-coding RNA is filed under the name Vigna radiata. Its description in RNAcentral is "long non-coding RNA (VRAD_LNC014738)". The record is from RNAcentral. Lineage: Eukaryota; Viridiplantae; Streptophyta; Magnoliopsida; Fabales; Fabaceae.
UUGUGUCGUCCAGCGACCCUGGAGGUUAAACACCUUGCGGGAUGGUCACUCCCGUCGUCCAACGAUCCUGGACGCUAAACACCUUGCGGGAUGGUCACUCCCAUCAUCUAGUGGAACACCGAGUCCGGACGCCCAACUACUAUCAGAAAGUACGGACCACCGAGUCCGGACACCUGACUACUAUCAAAAGGCACGGACCACCGAGUUCGGAUGCCCAACUACUAU